This 260-nucleotide ribosomal RNA is filed under the name uncultured bacterium. RNAcentral's name for it is "partial 16S ribosomal RNA". It matches the Rfam family "Bacterial small subunit ribosomal RNA", at positions 524 to 776 of the family's 1533-position model. The record is from RNAcentral.
UACGUAGGGUGCGAGCGUUGUCCGGAAUUAUUGGGCGUAAAGGGCUCGUAGGCGGUCUGUCGCGUCGGGAGUGAAAACUCAGGGCUUAACCCUGAGCCUGCUUCCGAUACGGGCAGACUAGAGGUAUGCAGGGGGAGAACGGAAUUCCUGGUGUAGCGGUGGAAUGCGCAGAUAUCAGGAGGAACACCGGUGGCGAAGGCGGCUCUCGUCGGGACGGUACUGACGGCUGAGACGACGAAAGCGUGGGGGAGCGAAACAGG